ACGGGUGAGUAAUACAUCGGAACGUGCCUAGUAGUGGGGGAUAACUACUCGAAAGAGUAGCUAAUACCGCAUGAGAUCUACGGAUGAAAGCAGGGGACCUUCGGGCCUUGUGCUACUAGAGCGGCUGAUGGCAGAUUAGGUAGUUGGUGGGGUAAAGGCUUACCAAGCCUGCGAUCUGUAGCUGGUCUGAGAGGACGACCAGCCACACUGGGACUGAGACACGGCCCAGACUCCUACGGGAGGCAGCAGUGGGGAAUUUUGGACAAUGGGCGAAAGCCUGAUCCAGCAAUGCCGCGUGCAGGAUGAAGGCCCUCGGGUUGUAAACUGCUUUUGUACGGAACGAAAAGCCUGGGGCUAAUAUCCCCGGGUCAUGACGGUACCGUAAGAAUAAGCACCGGCUAACUACGUGCCAGCAGCCGCGGUAAUACGUAGGGUGCAAGCGUUAAUCGGAAUUACUGGGCGUAAAGCGUGCGCAGGCGGUUUUGUAAGACAGUGGUGAAAUCCCCGGGCUCAACCUGGGAACUGCCAUUGUGACUGCAAGGUUAGAGUGCGGCAGAGGGGGAUGGAAUUCCGCGUGUAGCAGUG
This 585-nucleotide ribosomal RNA is filed under the name uncultured bacterium. Its description in RNAcentral is "bacterial SSU rRNA". It matches the Rfam family "Bacterial small subunit ribosomal RNA", at positions 102 to 683 of the family's 1533-position model. The record is from RNAcentral.